AUGCCGUGAUGAGGGCACUUUCAUAAUAACUCCUGGAAUCGCUCCCAUGCCUCAUAUAAAGAUUCUUUAUCAAGUUGCUAAAAUGAAGUGAUUUCAUUUUGGAUCUU
This is a non-coding RNA of Gossypium hirsutum (cotton), 107 nucleotides long. NCBI's taxonomy places the organism in Eukaryota, Viridiplantae, Streptophyta, Magnoliopsida, Malvales, Malvaceae. The record is from Rfam.